RNAcentral lists this ribosomal RNA (223 nucleotides) under Wenyingozyma naganishii. RNAcentral describes it as "Ogataea naganishii partial 26S rRNA". It matches the Rfam family "Eukaryotic large subunit ribosomal RNA", at positions 1623 to 1848 of the family's 3401-position model. Lineage: Eukaryota; Fungi; Ascomycota; Pichiomycetes; Pichiales; Pichiaceae. The record is from RNAcentral.
ACUUGGAUAUGGAAUUUCACGGUAACGUAACUGAAUGUGGAGACGUCGGCAUGGGCCCUGGGAGGAGUUAUCUNUUCUUCUUAACAGCUUAUCACCCUGGAAUUGGUUUAUCCGGAGAUAGGGUNUUAUGGCUGGAAGAGCGCAAUAUCUUGUUGCGUCCGGNGCGCCUAUGNCGAUCCUUGAAAAUCCACAGGAAGGAUNNNUUUUCAUGCCAAGUNGUNCU